RNAcentral lists this ribosomal RNA (408 nucleotides) under uncultured bacterium. RNAcentral describes it as "partial 16S ribosomal RNA". It matches the Rfam family "Bacterial small subunit ribosomal RNA", at positions 28 to 526 of the family's 1533-position model. The record is from RNAcentral.
GACGAACGCUUGCGGCGUGCUUAACACAUGCAAGUCGAACGGAGUGGCGAACGGGUGCGUAACACGUGGGUGGUCUGCCUUGCACUUCGGGAUAAGCUUGGGAAACUGGGUCUAAUACCGGAUAUUGCAAGAUCAGCUCGCGGCCUAUCAGCUUGUUGGUGGGGUAAUGGCCUACCAAGGCGUCGACGGGUAGCCGGCCUGAGAGGGUGUACGGCCACAAGGGGACUGGGGUACGGACCAGACGCCUACGGGAGGCAGCGGGGGGGAGUAUUGCACAAUGGGGGGAAGGGUGAUGAAGCGACGCCGCGUGGGGGAUGAAGGCCUUCGGGUUGUAAACGCCUUUCGACAGGGACGCGGUACCUGUAGAAGAAGCACCGGCUAACUACGUGCCAGCAGCCGCGGUAAUAC